ACACCCGGCCAGGGGAUUACGAGCCCAAUCUUAAAACCCUAAGGACUUGACGGGGUCCCACCCACCUARAGGAGCCUGUUYUAUAAUCGAUACCCCCCGAUACACCCCACCACUUCUAGCGUAUCAGUCUGUAUACCUCCGUCUUCAGCUCGCCGUGUGAACGCUUGCAGCGGGCAAAAAGAUUCAUCACCAAUACGUCAGGUCAAGGUGCAACUUACGAAGUGGGAAGCAAUGGGCUACAAUUUCUAUCCGUAGAACACACGAAAAACUGCGUGCAAUACAGUUUAUGAAGGUGGAUUUAGCAGUAAAAAGAAAAUAGAGAGUUCUUUUAAAUCCGGCCCUGGGACGCGU
Molecule: ribosomal RNA, 351 nt
Filed under: Anodonthyla emilei
Lineage: Eukaryota; Metazoa; Chordata; Amphibia; Anura; Microhylidae
Description: partial 12S ribosomal RNA
Rfam family: Bacterial small subunit ribosomal RNA
Source: RNAcentral